UGGGUAUGUUAAUAGCAUACUCAUUUGACGUUAGCUGCAGAAGAAGCACCGGUCUAACUCCGUGCCAGCAAGCCGCGGUAAUUACGGAGGGUUGCGAGCGUUAAUCGGAAUUACUGGGCGUAAAGCGCAUGCAGGUGGUUUGUUAAGUCAGAUGUGAAAGCCCGGGGCUCAACCUCGGAAUUGCAUUUGAAACUGGCAAACUAGAGUACUGUAGAGGGGGUAGAAUUUCAGGUGUAGCGGUGAAAUGCGUAGAGAUCUGAAGGAAUACCGGUGGCGAAGGCGGCCCCCUGGACAGAUACUGACACUCAGAUGCGAAAGCGUGGGGAGCAAACAGGAUUAGAUACCCUCGGUAG
This 353-nucleotide ribosomal RNA is filed under the name uncultured bacterium. RNAcentral's name for it is "bacterial SSU rRNA". It matches the Rfam family "Bacterial small subunit ribosomal RNA", at positions 445 to 793 of the family's 1533-position model. The record is from RNAcentral.